Molecule: ribosomal RNA, 1326 nt
Filed under: human gut metagenome
Description: bacterial LSU rRNA
Rfam family: Bacterial large subunit ribosomal RNA
Source: RNAcentral
UUAGCUGUGGAGAAAGGGCGAGGGUGCUAAGGUCCUCGCCCGAGAGGAGAAGAAUCCGGACCGCCGGCUAAGGCCCCGGAGUGCAUGUUAAGUUAGUCUAACGAAGUACGGCCCCCGUGACAGCUAGGAUGUUGGCUUGGAAGCAGCCAUUCAUUCAAAGAGUGCGUAACAGCUCACUAGUCGAGGGUCUGUGCGUGGAUAAUAAUCGGGUAUUAAACAUGCCGCCGAAGCCGCGGGAUUGCACUUUUUAAUGGUGUAAUCGGUAGGGGAGCAUUCCAUGUGCGUUGAAUGGAUUCCGUAAGGGGUUCUGGAGCGUAUGGAAAAGCAAAUGUAGGUAUAAGUAACGAUAAAGAGGGUGAGAUGCCCUCUCGCCGAAAGACUAAGGUUUCCUGGGCGACGUUAAUCGUCCCAGGGUCAGUCGGGUCCUAAGGAUAAGCCUAAUGGCGAGGCCGAACGGAUGAAACGGUUAAUAUUCCGUUACUAUCUGCGUCGAGCGACGCGGUGACGGGGCGGUGACACUUCCGCGCCCUUACGAAUCAGGGCGUUGAACGGCAAAGGUGUAGAUUGCGGUAGUGAAGUACGCCGCGAGAGCCGAAGCCGGAAAGUACGCGAGUCCUCCGGGAUGAGCGAUAGUGAAGGUAAUAGCCUCCGAGAAAACCCGCUAAGCAUUAUGAUGGUGCAGGUACCCGUACCGUAAACGGACACACGUAGUUGGGUAGAAAAUACUAAGGCGCUUGGGAGAUUCACGGUUAAGGAACUAGGCAAAAUAGCCCUGUAACUUCGGGAGAAAGGGUCCUGCUUUUAUAGCAGGCGCAGAGAAAAGGUCCAGGCAACUGUUUAACAAAAACACAGGGCUGUGCGAAGUGUAAUUACUCAGUAUACAGCCUGACACCUGCCCGGUGCCGGAAGGUUAAGAGGAGGGCUUAUCAGCAAUGAGAAGGUCUGAAUUGAAGCCCCGGUAAACGGCGGCCGUAACUAUAACGGUCCUAAGGUAGCGAAAUUCCUUGUCGGGUAAGUUCCGACCUGCACGAAUGGUGUAAUGAUCCGGACACUGUCUCAACCGUGAUCCCUGUGAAAUUGUAGUAUCGGUGAAGAUGCCGAUUACCCGCGAUGGGACGAAAAGACCCCGUGAACCUUUACUAUAGCUUAGCGUUGGAACUGGGCAAUUGAUGUGUAGGAUAGGCCGGAGGCAAUGAAGCGUGCGCGCCAGCGUAUGUGGAGCCGCCGUUGAAAUACGGCCCUUUGGCUGUUUGGUUCCUAACUUGCAAGAAUGCAAGGACCGCGCUUGGUGGGUAGUUUGACUGGGGUGGUCGCCUCCAAAAGCGU